Molecule: ribosomal RNA, 475 nt
Filed under: uncultured bacterium
Lineage: Bacteria
Description: bacterial SSU rRNA
Rfam family: Bacterial small subunit ribosomal RNA
Source: RNAcentral
AGGACACGCUGGCGGCGUGCCUAACACAUGCAAGUCGAGCGGGGUUGAAGCGAGAGGUAACUCGAGCUUCUACCUAGCGGCGGACGGGUGAGUAACGCGUGGGCAACCUGCCUCAAGGUUUGGGAUAACAGCCCGAAAGGGCUGCUAAUACCGGAUAUGCCUAUGGCCUCGCAUGGGGCUAUGAGCAAAGGGGAAACCCGCCUUGAGAUGGGCCCGCGUCCCAUCAGCUAGUUGGUGAGGUAACAGCUCACCAAGGCGACGACGGGUAGCCGGCCUGAGAGGGUGACCGGCCACACUGGGACUGAGACACGGCCCAGACUCCUACGGGGGGCAGCAGUGGGGGAUCUUGCACAAUGGGCGAAAGCCUGAUGCAGCGACGCCGCGUGAGCGAAGAAGGCCUUCGGGUUGUAAAGCUCUGUCUGGAGGGACGAACAAAAUGACGGUACCUCCGGAGGAAGCCACGGCUAACUACGUG